CGGCCCACCAAGGCGACGAUGCGUAGGGGUUCUGAGAGGAAGGUCCCCCACACUGGUACUGAGACACGGACCAGACUCCUACGGGAGGCAGCAGUGAGGAAUAUUGGUCAAUGGCCGCAGGGCUGAACCAGCCAAGUCGCGUGAGGGAUGACGGUCCUAUGGAUUGUAAACCUCUUUUGUCAGGGAGCAAAGGGCGCCACGUGUGGCGUUUUGCGAGUACCUGAAGAAAAAGCAUCGGCUAACUCCGUGCCAGCAGCCGCGGUAAUACGGAGGAUGCGAGCGUUAUCCGGAUUUAUUGGGUUUAAAGGGUGCGCAGGCGGAAUGUCAAGUCAGCGGUAAAAUUUCGGGGCUCAACCCCGUCGUGCCGUUGAAACUGGCGUUCUUGAGUGAGCGAGAAGUAUGCGGAAUGCGUGGUGUAGCGGUGAAAUGCAUAGAUAUCACGCAGAACUCCGAUUGCGAAGGCAGCAUACCGGCGCUCAACUGACGCUCAUGCACGAAAGCGUGGGUAUCGAACAGGAUUAGAUACCCUGGUAGUCCACGCAGUAAACGAUGAAUACUAACUGUCCGGGC
Molecule: ribosomal RNA, 570 nt
Filed under: uncultured bacterium
Lineage: Bacteria
Description: bacterial SSU rRNA
Rfam family: Bacterial small subunit ribosomal RNA
Source: RNAcentral